CCUACGGGAGGCUGCAGUGAGGAAUAUUGGUCAAUGGGCGGAAGCCUGAACCAGCCAAGUAGCGUGCAGGAUGACGGCUCUACGGGUUGUAAACUGCUUUUAUACGGGAAUAACGCGCCUUACGUGUAGGGCUUUGCAUGUACCGUAUGAAUAAGGAUCGGCUAAUUCCGUGCCAGCAGCCGCGGUAAUACGGAGGGUCCGGGCGUUAUCCGGAUUUAUUGGGUUUAAAGGGAGCGUAGGCGGCCUUUUAAGCGUGCUGUGAAAUGUCCGGGCUCAACCCGGGCCUUGCAGCGGGAACUGGGGGGCUUGAGUGCGCGGAAGGCAGGCGGAAUUCGUGGUGUAGCGGUGAAAUGCUUAGAUAUGACGAAGAACCCCGAUUGCGAAGGCAGCUUGCUGCAGCAGAACUGACGCUGAUGCUCGAAAGCGUGGGUAUCGAACAGGAUUAGAUACCCGGGUAGUC
This 460-nucleotide ribosomal RNA is filed under the name uncultured bacterium. RNAcentral describes it as "partial 16S ribosomal RNA". It matches the Rfam family "Bacterial small subunit ribosomal RNA", at positions 338 to 795 of the family's 1533-position model. The record is from RNAcentral.